This is a non-coding RNA of Elaeis guineensis (African oil palm), 2696 nucleotides long. NCBI's taxonomy places the organism in Eukaryota, Viridiplantae, Streptophyta, Magnoliopsida, Arecales, Arecaceae. The record is from RefSeq and is a predicted model, not a curated record.
ACCGUUCCCAGAGAAAAAGACCCCCCACUCUCGCAUUUCGAGAGCUCGUCUCCUUCAAAAAAAAAAAAACAAGAGCACUCCGACCCCCCUUCUCUCUCUCUCUCUCUGCCUGCUUCCCCCUGUGGAAUAGAGAGGGAAAGCAACGGUACAAAGGAGGGUUGGGGUUUGGGCGGGAGUACGAUUAAUCGAGGGGGUUGAGAGCGCCGCUUCGAUCGGUCCAAAGAGUUCUGAGACAUAUUCUCGACGGGAGUGGAGUUGGUCUAUUCUGCAGGGAGGCAAACAAGCAGAGAAGAAGUAAAAAAAAGGAUUACAAGGAAGAAAGGUAAGCAGGCUAUCUCUAUCUAUCAAUCUAUCAGUGUUCCUCCUUUAAGCCCCUCCUCCUCCUUUCUCCUCUCAGCUUUCCUAGAUUUCUGUGCUCCUCUUCUCAUGAAACAGCCAUAUCCUUCUUCCCAAAAGAUCCCCUCUUUUACUGCUUAAAAAAAAUAAAUAACAAGGAUCCAGGUUAGAUCCUGUCUUGGCUGAUCCCUUCAUUCUAGUGAAGAUGCAUUAGGAACCGUUGGAUUUUGUUUUAAACCACUCUUGUUUGGCUCCUAUCUGUAUUUGUUUCCGAAAAUAUAUAAGUUAAAAAACUUGACCGUUUCCUCAAACAUUCCAUGUCUGGUCCAUGGUAGUGGUUUCGAAGCUCGAUUCCAAGCUUCAGCCUCAAAAACACUUGUUCACACGCUCCCAUAUCCAUCUCAUCCGGCUCCCACCAACUGCCCUCUUCCAUGGUCUUUGUUUCUAUAUUUAAACCCCCAGUGUCCCUGAAGACCAGCAGGUGUUGCCCUACGAAGCUGCUCACCAUCCCAAAUGACCAGAUUGCCCUUACCGCUGUUACGGUCUCGAAGGGUAAUUUGGUAAUCAUGGUGAGGGGGGGUGACGUGUAGUGGUCCCGUAUGGGGGGAGAUCUCUUCGUAGCGUUGUUGGUUUCUGGUCGCCAGAGGGCAGGCACAUGGGAGCGGCAGCGGCUGCAGCAGCGCUGCUACAUACAUUGAGAACUCUUGCCCCCAGCGGCUCUCAGUGGUGGUGUGCCGCUCUUUAAGUCAUGGAGGAGUGGCCCGGAGCUUCCACUAUGGAUACGUGAAACCCGGGGGAGUACGUUUCUUGGUGUCCGCGUCCCCGAAUUGCCCUCGGCUCAAAGCUGCACUUCUUGGCCACUCUAUCAUCUCGUCGAAGCUGGCUGGAGGGACAUUCCCGUCAUUUUGAGGUGUCUGGGUACAAAUAUUUCAGGUUGGGGAGCUGUUGCGUGUGGGAUGGAGAGAAGAGUGGGGGAAGAGACGAGAGGUGAGGAGAGGGGGAAGUUGGAACAAGUACAGUUAAUCUGGGGUUGGUAAAAUAUUAAAGAGUUAUAAAAGAGGGGAAAAAAGGGUGAGAGACUUACUGCCCUUGCUUUUAUUUCUUUUUCUCUCCAGGAGAAUGAGAAGAGUGAAGAGAAAGGAACAGGGGAGAAGGGGUCUCCUCCCCAAAAAGGGAGGCCGGCCUCUACGGCCAAGCUAGAGAAAGAGUGGAAGAAAGCUUUGGUCUUCAAGUUAAGGCAUUUGCUUCCCUCGGCACGAGAGAAGGCGCCAAGGCGUCGACAACGGUGGCGGUGGCAAAGGAGGAGAUGAUGGUGGGCUGCUGGUGGUGGUGGAGGUGGUGGUGGUGGUGGAAGGCUACAUACACAAGAUGACGAGGUUUUGUUGUUGUUUUGACGUGUAUGUUCGCUUGUGGAAGUGGGAUAUUGGCGUAAUAGGCUCAAUCACCCUUUUUUUUCUUUUCUUUUUUCAAAAUCUAUUUUGUUUUCUUGUCUACAUUUCACAUAUAUAUUUUUGGUAGCUUUUGGCUUUAUUUUUGUUUUUAAAUUCUACUUUGUCUUCCCCUUUUGUUCCCUAGCGUUGGUUUGUUCAUGUGAAUGAGAUGCGGGCAUGUUGUCACAUAAAUGGAAUGGAAUGGUUGAUGGUGAUGCUGUGUGGGAAUGGGAAGGUAAGAUGGGGUACGGCUUUCGUUGGUUUUGGCUUCGCUUCAACAUCUCCUUUCCCUUGCUUGCAUUUUGCAUCGUAGAUUGGAUGCUUUGUUUGGCAUGUCGUCUCCUUCCCUUCCUUUCUUUCUUUUUUUCUCUUGUCUGUUGUAGCUUGGCUGCUACAUUUGGCCACCAUGCAACAAAUUCUGAUGGAGGCCCAGCCUCCAUGUUGGAACAAGACUAGGAUGUAUAGGGGACAAGGAGGUCUGCCUCCACUCCAGGCCUACAGACCAUAUCAUGGGGAUGGUGAACUAUCAUCUCCUAUCACCACUAACACCACCAUACAUGCCAUCCUCUUGUCCUCAGUGACCAGAAGAGUCGAAUAUAGUAGAGGUGAGCGCAGAUUUUUUUACUUUUGCAACCAAUGGCGACAAGUGGAGAUGUGUACAUAAUUUUUUUUUUAAUCUACCCUGUCUGAUAUAUUAGUGUGUAAUAGGAUGGAUUGGGUUGUCUUUUUUUAUAUCCGCUGGCUAAUAAGGUGGAAGGCUGUUGCGGAGAUGAAGCUUUUUCACUUUGAUCAGAGGACGGGAAAUUUCUUGGUUGCUGGGAGAUCUGAGCCCCGUGAUUUCAAUUGUUCCAGGUGAUCUUGUGGGUGUGGCGCUGGUGGUUUGAUCAGUUGAUGUGCAUCUCAAGUGUGUAAACUUUUUGAACCAGCUAC